RNAcentral lists this ribosomal RNA (263 nucleotides) under uncultured bacterium. RNAcentral describes it as "partial 16S ribosomal RNA". It matches the Rfam family "Bacterial small subunit ribosomal RNA", at positions 793 to 1055 of the family's 1533-position model. The record is from RNAcentral.
GUCCACGCCCUAAACGAUGUCUACUAGUUGUCGGGGGUAACUCCUUCGGUAACGCAGCUAACGCGUGAAGUAGACCGCCUGGGGAGUACGGUCGCAAGAUUAAAACUCAAAGGAAUUGACGGGGACCCGCACAAGCGGUGGAUGAUGUGGAUUAAUUCGAUGCAACGCGAAAACCUUACCUACCCUUGACAUGCCACUAACGAAGCAGAGAUGCAUUAGGUGCCCGAAAGGGAAAGUGGACACAGGUGCUGCAUUGCUGUCGU